Ochotona princeps (American pika) is the source of this 101-nucleotide small nucleolar RNA. Lineage: Eukaryota; Metazoa; Chordata; Mammalia; Lagomorpha; Ochotonidae. The record is from Ensembl.
AUCCCUCUGUGGUUCAUGAGCGUGAUGAUUGGGCUUACACACAUCUGCAUAACAUGUGCCUCCCUUAAACCUUAUUACGUUGGCACAUUACCCAACUGACC